This 253-nucleotide ribosomal RNA is filed under the name uncultured bacterium. RNAcentral's name for it is "partial 16S ribosomal RNA". It matches the Rfam family "Bacterial small subunit ribosomal RNA", at positions 524 to 776 of the family's 1533-position model. The record is from RNAcentral.
UACGUAGGGGGCUAGCGUUGUUCGGAAUCAUUGGGCGUAAAGCGCGCGUAGGCGGCCCGGUAAGUCAGGUGUGAAAUCCCGGGGCUCAACCCCGGAACUGCCUCUGAAACUGCAGUGCUAGAAUCUUGGAGAGGCGAGUGGAAUUCCGAGUGUAGAGGUGAAAUUCGUAGAUAUUCGGAAGAACACCAGUGGCGAAGGCGACUCGCUGGACAAGUAUUGACGCUGAGGUGCGAAAGCGUGGGGAGCAAACAGG